AUGUUCUUCGACAGACCCACACAGAAGCAUGCUCCCGGAAGCUGCUGCUGAGGAGUCCCCCACUUUGCUGCUGCCUGUGCUGCUGGUAGUGGGCUGGAUCGUGGGCUGUGUGGUGGUCCUCUACUUCGUCUUUUUCUAGGGAGGAAGCAGAAGAUCCUGAUCAAGACUUUAAUGCAUCUCAUAUAUUAUGUAAAAGUAUUAUUAUAAAGGUACCAGGCCACCUUCUACAAAAAGCCUAAAUUGAUUCUCCAAAGCUUUUAGUACACAGGAAAACAUCAUAAUGUUGAUCCAGCAUAACUGUCUGUCAUGGAUACCUGUAUUUAUUGUUUUUCAUUAGUAGAUGUUUUUUUCUUUGUAUAAAUGGGGCCAUAAUAACAGAAAAUGACUCAUUUGCAUACCACAGUAAAUGUCAAUGAUAUUUCCUGUCCCCAUUAUCGUAAGAGAGGAAAAAGCUGUGUAAUCUCAGAAAGAGCUACAGUACCUAACACAAACAUGUUAAUCACUGCGCAUCUCAGAAUUCACUAAUCCAUUAAUCAUUUAUUCUAUCCAGCAAUCCCCAACACACUGUUUAUACUACCAGCAGAACUUUAUUUAUAUACCAUAAAACUAUAAUUGUAUAUUGCUGUGGAAAGGUUUGAAAACACUUCCAGUUUUACUAUAUAUUUUUGUAAUUUUAUGUA
RNAcentral lists this long non-coding RNA (680 nucleotides) under Astyanax mexicanus (Mexican tetra). Its description in RNAcentral is "lncRNA (ENSAMXG00005007278.1)". The record is from RNAcentral. Lineage: Eukaryota; Metazoa; Chordata; Actinopteri; Characiformes; Acestrorhamphidae.